RNAcentral lists this ribosomal RNA (148 nucleotides) under uncultured Pseudomonas sp. Its description in RNAcentral is "partial 16S ribosomal RNA". It matches the Rfam family "Bacterial small subunit ribosomal RNA", at positions 384 to 524 of the family's 1533-position model. Lineage: Bacteria; Pseudomonadati; Pseudomonadota; Gammaproteobacteria; Pseudomonadales; Pseudomonadaceae. The record is from RNAcentral.
UGAUCCAGCCAUGCCGCGUGUGUGAAGAAGGUCUUCGGAUUGUAAAGCACUUUAAGUUGGGAGGAAGGGCACUAACCUAAUACGUUAGUGUUUUGACGUUACCGACAGAAUAAGCACCGGCUAACUUCGUGCCAGCAGCCGCGGUAAU